AGCAUGAAGUCUGCCAAGCAGUAUUACUGCCGCAUGGACCUAAACAGGAUCUGGAGGAGGAUGGUAAUGUAUAAAAGGAUGGAGCGAUGAUAAAUAAGUUAAAUAAUAGAUCAAUUUAAUACAGAUCCAGGGACAGAUUUGCAGCCGAUCGCCUCAUUAUGGGGUCAGGAAGGAAUUUUUUGCUUGGACAUAUUGAAUAUUACUAAUGGUAUGUACAAGUUUUUUCGCCUUCCUCUGGAUCACUUAUUCACUAAACUUUGAAUUGUAGCAAAUUAAAAUCUGACAGGGUUGUUCACUAAACAUCACAUUUUAUCUGGAAGUCUUUUGUAUUCUUGAAACUCCUCACAGUACAAUGUUUAUAAAAUGUAAAAAUGUUUAAAAUAUAUGUAAGCUAAAUACAAAUUUAAUGAGGAUAAAUUCAUUAAAUAAAAUUAGAAAACUUUAUUAGUUACUUUUUAAUUACUAUGGUUUACAAUAAUACAAAGACAAAGGACCUCUUACAAAUAUAAAUCCUUAAAAAUACAUUUAAAACAAUAAUAAUAAUAAUUUGCAAUUUUUGUAGCGCUUUUCUCCCUGUGAGACUCAAAGCACUUUACAAAUAUAUAAAGCAGACAUAAAAGCUAAGCGUUUCUGACAGUCAGAAGAGCUGACUGAAUGCCUAUCAAAAGUCGCAGGCCAAUGUUAAAAUAUGUUUGCCAUUUAAUUGGAGGCCAAUGCAGGGAGUGGAGAACAGGUGUUAUGUUACAUGAUCGACUUUGGUUGGUCAGUAGUCUGGCUGCUGCAUUUUGUACUGUCUGUAGGUGAUGGAGUUCUUUUUCUGGGAGGCCCAAGUAGAGUACAUUACAGUAAUCUUGACAAGAGGACGCAAAUACAUGGAUUAAUGGUGGUGCACAAGGCGUUAAAAACUCCUGUCACUUACCGGAUUCCAGCGCCGAUGCCCCUCCGCAACCAAAAGUCACCUGAUGAUCGGAAGUUCCUCUAGUGGUUGUCUGGUAGAUCGCUACUGGAGGUGGGUUUAACCCUGGCAGGUACGUAUUGCAGUUUUUGCAGGGUUAAGGGAUCUUGGACACUGUACCCAGACCACUUCAAUGAGCUGAAGUGGUAUGGGUACCUACAGUGUCCCUUUAAGGUAGUUGUUAUGGUGAGUAUAGUCAGUGCCUGCUGGCUUUUUGUGUAAAGCCUGUCUUUUUAGAGAAAAGGCAGUGUUUACAUUACAUCUCUAGUGGCCACUCCUCAGAGGUUCAGCUUCUCCAUGCUCUGCGCUGCACUCGAGAGUUCACAUAGAAAGUUCAAUCGUUAACUUCCAUAUGUGCCUAGGGUUUCUCCACUGCUGUUGCAGAUAGUGUGCAGAACUCUGUUGGAGUGGCAGGUGAACUGCAAUUCUCUGCUGUUGCGGUUGAUGAAGUGCCAAUCUCUGGCGUCUUGGCCAAUGGAACAUGGCCCUCCGCAGAUGCAGCAGUGUAGUGCCGCUCUCUGCCAUCGUGGCAGAUGGAGAAGGGUCAGGCCCCUGUUGUUCUGCAUCUUGGAAAAGUGUGUGGGUAGAGGAGCAGGAUCCUGUUGGUGCAUGUCACCGUGAAGUAGUCUGCCAGAUAUUUGAAUUAGUCCUCGUCGGAUUUGCUCUUGAGGCAGCAUCGAGGCAGUCACCAAGUGCCUCUCCAAUUUGGCCCAAAAUUCCUGAAAUAUUGCCAGUGAGGCUGUGUGCAUCAACAAAGGUCUGUGUCAGGACCUGUGCCACCGGUGAAGACUUUUCCGCCAUCUUGAGAAGCUUAGGCAUUCACAGGUUAAUGGCAACAGCUGUCUGCUAUUGAAUGGGUAGCAGUGUAGGUCAGUCCAGCUGGAACGGGAAUAACACCCAUCACUCUUCUGCCUUUCUCCAGCACAGCAGCCUGUAGGCCUCGGCAAGUCUCAACAGGCUCCCGAGUUAGGUAUCGGUGGGUUAAUCACAGCCCCACUUCAGUUUGCGUGGAAUCGCCCAGAUUUUAUUGCAGUGGCUAUAAAUAUCCCCCAAAAAUCAGUAAGCAAAGUGGGAGCUCGCCCAGUACACAUCUGAUCAGCACGUGUCUCAGGCUCCGCUGACCCUAGUUAUUUUAACACUGUAGGAUCAGGAAUACACGUUUGUGUUUCUGACCCUAUAGUGUUCCUUUAAUAAACAGCCAUAUAUAAUUGACACUAAAAUAUAUACUCCUCAUUCCUCUGUAAGAAUGUAUUCAUAAAUAUAAUGCCAAGACCCAAUUGCAGGGCAAUUUCAAAAAAAAAAGAAAAAAAAAGAAUAUGGAAAAGAUAUCUGAGUGGGAAAAAAGGAAAAGAAAAGAAUGAAAGAAAAACAAAAAUUAACAAAAAAAUUAAAAUAUGAGAAUAACAAAAAAAAAAAGAAAAAAUAUAAUUAAAAAAAUGUAAAAAUACAACAAAAAAGUAAAUAUAUAUAUAUACUGAUAUGGAAAAGAUAGCUAAAUUAAAAAAGAAAAAAGAAUAAAAGAAAGAAAACUUAAAAAAAGAACAAGAAUAAAAAUGAGAAAAUAAAUAAAAAAAACUAAUUGAAUAAAACUGAAAAUAUAAAUAAAAAAAGAAAGAAAAAAUAUAAAACAAAUAUAAGAAUAACAAAAGUAGAAAUUGAAAAUGAUUUAUUGAAUAUCUAAAAGAGCAAUAAAUUAUUGAAAAAUAUAUUAAUGAAUACAUCUCCGAGGAAUAAUUGAUUUAAAAAAAAAAAAGAAGUCUGAAGUCAAUGUCUAUAUUUAAUUCCGUGGCUGAAGGUUUUUUUUGUUUGUUUGUUUUUUUUUUAAAGGAACACUAAAACACUUGGAUUCAAGCCUGUAUUCCUAAAUUGUUAGUGUUCCUGACCCUAGUUCUAUAGGUCAGGUCGGGUUUUUGCUCUUCUGGCACCGAUUACCUCUCUUCCUCCCGCAAUUUUAUAGCUUCCUCUGGCGUAGUCCAAUCCAAUGCUCCUCAUAGGGGAACAUUGGGAUCCUGAUGCACAUGCACAGCGAACAUCAUACGCGUAUCCAAGCUUUCCCAUUUCCUAUGGGGGCUUCCGUAUCACGUGACCGAUCAGCGCACUGGAGAAUCCUCCAGUGGCUGUUUAACCCUUUCAGGUAAACAUUGCUAUUUCUGCAAAAUGGCAGUGUUUUACCUUGUAGGGUUAAAUUGACAGAACCACUGCACCCAGGCCACUUCAUUGAGAUUAAGUGGCCUGGGUGACUCUAUUGGUCCUUUCAUUUAUUAAUCCAAAAGGUUUCCCUUUGAU
This is a non-coding RNA of Pelobates cultripes (western spadefoot toad), 3241 nucleotides long. The record is from the annotation of a GenBank genome assembly. Lineage: Eukaryota; Metazoa; Chordata; Amphibia; Anura; Pelobatidae.